Molecule: long non-coding RNA, 648 nt
Organism: Electrophorus electricus (electric eel)
Lineage: Eukaryota; Metazoa; Chordata; Actinopteri; Gymnotiformes; Gymnotidae
Source: RefSeq, a predicted model, not a curated record
CACGCCCCCGCCGAGCACCUCUUCUGGGAGCAGGCAGACAGGACCAGUGGACCUGUCUGGAACGAGAGAGGCUGAAGCUCUUGUCCUGGUAGGAGGGGCACUCGACGUAGCUGCCUCUCAUCGCCCCAGCGCUGUGGUCCCAGAAGCAGACAGGCGCACCAAACUGACGACGCACACGGGAGACCUUAUACCUGAGCUGCAAAGACAGAGAAAGUGACAGUGAGACAGCCAUGAAAGAGUGAGACGGACCUCUCUAAAGACAGCCAUGAAAGAGUGAGACGGACCUCUCUAAAGACAGCCAUGAAAGAGUGAGACGGACCUCUCUAAAGACAGCCAUGAAAGAGUGAGACGGACCUCUCUAAAGACAGCCAUGAAAGAGUGAGACGGACCUCUCUAAAGACAGCCAUGAAAGAGUGAGACAGACCUCUCUAAAGACAGCCAUGAAAGAGUGAGACGGACCUCUCUAAAGACAGCCAUGAAAGAGUGAGACGGACCUCUCUAAAGCCAUUAGUAUGCAGAUCUCUGUUUAAAUUGGGUGUGUUGGGUGUGGGUGUGUUUCUCGCACUCUGGGUCUGGUGUCCGUGACGGAUUCCUCCUGUAUCUCCCUCUCGCUGCCCAGAGACAGCCACGGCUUGGGCUCGGGCGUCU